CAAUAGCAUAUAUUAAAGUUGUUGCAGUUAAAAGCUCGUAGUUGGAUUUCUGGCAUGAUGCGCCUGGCCCGCCUCCAUUAGGAGUGUGUGUGCGAGUGCGCGUCUGCCAUCCAUUUGCAGAAUGUGUCUACUCUUCAUUGAGCCGGAUACGUGAUGUAAAUCUUUUACUUUGAAAAAUUAGAGUGUUUAAAGCAGGCAUUUGCUAUGAAUACAUUAGCAUGGAAUAAUAAUCUAGGACUUCGGUUCUAUUUUGUUUGGUUUCUUAGAUCUGAAGUAAUGAUUGAUAGGGAUAGUUGGGGGUGGCUAGUAUUAAGGGGCCGAGAGGUGAAAUUACUUGGAUUCUCUUAAGACUAACUUAAUGCGAAGCAUUCACCAAGGAUGUCUUCUUUAAUUCAAGAACGAAAGUUA
Molecule: ribosomal RNA, 408 nt
Filed under: uncultured eukaryote
Lineage: Eukaryota
Description: SSU rRNA
Rfam family: Eukaryotic small subunit ribosomal RNA
Source: RNAcentral